GAUGUAGAAAAGCUUCCUCCCCACUUAGUAGACCGUGUCUUGAAACUGUUGCCGUGUACACAGGAAGUACUGUAGCUGAGCUGGUGGAAAUCAGUGUUGUAGUUGAUAAUGAAGACUCACCAGAGCUUUUGUGGUGGGAGAACAGUGACACUUCGGAGACCACAAGAAGAACUUGUGAAAAAUGUUCGUGAAAAGGAAAAAGAACAAAGCAGAAAUUCCACAGAUGCACAGUUACAGGAAGAGACAACAAGGAUACAAAAUGAGAGUAGUCAGGGAAGCGAUGGUACAACCUGUCCUCCCAGAUCCAUCGUCCUACAAGUAGUCUCUUUCGACACUCCUCUGAGUGAUGAAUCCAACUCAGAAAAGUGCACUAACUCUGAUCCGAACCAGAAAGAUCUCACCGAUGCCCAGCAAGAAACACAGAAUACAGACCCACUGAAUGGUGAGCCUAAACACUGUAAGAUGUCAGAAGAUAUACUGAGAACCACUGAGCAGAAAGAAGCACUGGUAGAGAACUAG
Molecule: long non-coding RNA, 519 nt
Filed under: Amazona collaria (yellow-billed parrot)
Lineage: Eukaryota; Metazoa; Chordata; Aves; Psittaciformes; Psittacidae
Description: lncRNA (ENSACOG00000016696.1)
Source: RNAcentral